CGUGGAGUGAUUUGUCUGGUUUAUUCCGAUAACGAGCGAGACUCUAACCUACUAAAUAGUUGAUAUUUUUUAUAAGAGUAUACAACUUCUUAGAGGGAUUUGCGGUGUUUAGCCGAAAGAAAUUGAGCAAUAACAGGUCUGUGAUGCCCUUAGAUGUCCGGGGCUGCACGCGCGCUACACUGGCAAAAUCAACGUGCUUGUCCUUCCCCGAAAGGGGCGGGUAAACCAUUGAAAAUUUGCCGUGAUUGGGAUCGGAAAUUGCAAUUAUUUUCCGUGAACGAGGAAUUCCAAGUAAGUGCGAGUCAUCAGCUCGCGUUGAAUACGUCCCUGCCCUUUGUAC
This 340-nucleotide ribosomal RNA is filed under the name Nematoda environmental sample. RNAcentral's name for it is "SSU rRNA". It matches the Rfam family "Eukaryotic small subunit ribosomal RNA", at positions 1300 to 1665 of the family's 1831-position model. The record is from RNAcentral. Lineage: Eukaryota; Metazoa; Nematoda.